This 253-nucleotide ribosomal RNA is filed under the name uncultured bacterium. Its description in RNAcentral is "partial 16S ribosomal RNA". It matches the Rfam family "Bacterial small subunit ribosomal RNA", at positions 524 to 776 of the family's 1533-position model. The record is from RNAcentral.
UACGAAGGGUGCAAACGUUGCUCGGAAUUAUUGGGCGUAAAGCGCACGUAGGCGGCUUUGCAAGUUCGAUGUGAAAUCCCUCGGCUCAACCAAGGAAGUGCAUCGAAAACUGCAGAGCUUGAGUAGUUAAGAGGAUCGCGGAAUUCCCGGUGUAGAGGUGAAAUUCGUAGAUAUCGGGAGGAACACCAGUGGCGAAGGCGGCGAUCUGGGAACAUACUGACGCUGAGGUGCGAAAGCGUGGGGAGCAAACAGG